GCUCGAGUAGCUCAGCUGGUAGAGCACACCCUUGGUAAGGGUGAGGUCGCCGGUUCAAUCCCGGCCUCGAGCU
Molecule: transfer RNA, 73 nt
Filed under: Allomeiothermus silvanus DSM 9946
Lineage: Bacteria; Thermotogati; Deinococcota; Deinococci; Thermales; Thermaceae
Description: Meiothermus silvanus DSM 9946 tRNA
Rfam family: tRNA
About the family: Transfer RNA (tRNA) molecules are approximately 80 nucleotides in length. Their secondary structure includes four short double-helical elements and three loops (D, anti-codon, and T loops).
Source: Rfam by way of RNAcentral